RNAcentral lists this ribosomal RNA (837 nucleotides) under uncultured organism. RNAcentral's name for it is "bacterial SSU rRNA". It matches the Rfam family "Bacterial small subunit ribosomal RNA", at positions 10 to 864 of the family's 1533-position model. The record is from RNAcentral.
AGUUUGAUCCUGGCUCAGGAUGAACGCUGGUGGCGUGCUUAACACAUGCAAGUCGAACGGGAACCUCUGGAUUCGUCUGGAGGGGAGAGUGGCGAACGGGUGAGUAACACGUAGGUGACCUGCCUCGAAGACGGGGAUAACUGCUGGAAACGGUAGCUAAUACCCGAUGGUCUCGAUAAUUCGGUUUGUCGAGUAAAGGCUCCGGCGCUUUGAGAGGGACCUGCGGCCCAUCAGCUAGUUGGUAGGGUAACGGCCUACCAAGGCGAAGACGGGUAGGGGGCGUGAGAGCGUGACCCCCCACACUGGCACUGGGACACGGGCCAGACUCCUACGGGAGGCAGCAGUGAGGAAUAUUGCGCAAUGAGCGAAAGCUAGACGCAGCAACGCCGCGUGGGUGAUGAAGGCCUUCGGGUCGUAAAACCCUUUUCUGGGGGAAGAGUAAGGACGGUACCCCAGGAAUAAGCCUCGGCUAACUAUGUGCCAGCAGCCGCGGUAAUACAUAGGAGGCAAGCGUUAUCCGGAUUUACUGGGCGUAAAGAGCGUUGAGGCGGCUUCGUAAGUUGGACGUGAAAGCUCCCGGCUUAACUGGGAGAGGCCGUUCAAUACUGCGGGGCUUGAGGACAGCAGAGGGGGGUGGAAUUUCCGGUGUAGUGGUGAAAUGCGUAGAUAUCGGAAGGAACACCAGUGGCGAAGGCGGCCCCCUGGGCUGCUCCUGACGCUGAAGGCGAAAGCUAGGGUAGCGAACGGGAUUAGAAACCCCGGUAGUCCUAGCCGUAAACGAUGGAUACUAGGUGUAGGAGGUUAAAACUCCUUCUGUGCCGGAGCUAACGCGUUAAG